GCCAUAGUCUGUAGGUGAAUGAACAAGCUACAUUUCUCCAGAAUUACUCAUUUUCUUUUUAAAGAUAAACUGGUCAAUACUCUCCUUCCUGGUAUGGAGGAAUUUUUUGUAUAUGAGAAGCAUUCAUGAAUAUAAUCUGCCCUCUUGCUUUAUUGUCAUAGGAGGGGAAAUUCACUGCUUUCACACCCUUCUGUUUUGGCUCUUUCUCCCAAAAGAUAAGAAUCUUUAUUUAGUAUCAUACCAAGAAAUUGGAGUUCCUUUAGCUUCAGACUAUCAUCAUGGCUUCCAAAUUGUUAGGAAAUACAAGUUUGCAAGACCCCAAGGGGACUUAAUAUUUUACAUCUUACUAGCCAUGUCAUAGGUUUUAAGUGCUUUUAAUGGGGAACUGUUUCACUCAUGCCAUAUACCUGUUUUGUUUUUCUAAAAAAUUAAUACUGUAAGUUGUGAGCAGGUGUCUUGUAUCACUGCGAAACCCAUGCAUAAUAAAAACUUGUUCUUGAGCUAUA
Molecule: long non-coding RNA, 506 nt
Filed under: Homo sapiens (human)
Lineage: Eukaryota; Metazoa; Chordata; Mammalia; Primates; Hominidae
Description: non-protein coding lnc-CNOT7-2:1
Source: RNAcentral